RNAcentral lists this ribosomal RNA (254 nucleotides) under uncultured bacterium. Its description in RNAcentral is "partial 16S ribosomal RNA". It matches the Rfam family "Bacterial small subunit ribosomal RNA", at positions 524 to 776 of the family's 1533-position model. The record is from RNAcentral.
UACAGAGGGUGCGAGCGUUUAAUCGGAAUUACUGGGCGUAAAGCGUGCGUAGACGGUUAUUUAAGUCGGAUGUGAAAGCCCCGGGCUCAACCUGGGAAUUGCAUUCGAGACUGAAUAGCUAGGGUGCGGUAGAGGGAAGCGGAAUUUCCGGUGUAGCGGUGAAAUGCGUAGAUAUCGGAAGGAACACCAGUAGCGAAGGCGGCUCGCUGGGCCAUUCCUGACGCUGAGACGCGAAAGCUAGGGGAGCGAACAGG